AGAGUUUGAUCAUGGCUCAGGACGAACGCUGACGGCGUGCUUUAGACAUGCAAGUCGAACGAGAAAGCCCUUCGGGGUGAGUACAGUGGCGAACGGGUGAGUAACACGUGGGCAACCUGCCCCUCGCAGGGGGACAACCGGAGGAAACUCCGGCUAAUACCCCGUACGCUUGCCGGACCGCAUGGUAUCGGCAAGGAAAGGCAGCUUCGGCCAUCCGGCGAGGGAUGGGCCCGCGGUACAUUAGCUAGUUGGUGGGGUAACGGCCCACCAAGGCGACGAUGUAUAGCUGGUCUGAGAGGAUGAUCAGCCACACUGGGACUGAGACACGGCCCAGACUCCUACGGGAGGCAGCAGUCGGGAAUCUUGCGCAAUGGGCGAAAGCCUGACGCAGCAACGCCGUGUGGGUGAGGAAGGCCUUAGGGUCGUAAAGCCCUGUUGUUGGGGACGAAGGGCGAAGGGUUAAUAGCCCCUAGUCUGACGGUACCCUUCGAGGAAGCCCCGGCUAACUACGUGCCAGCAGCCGCGGUAAUACGUAGGGGGCGAGCGUUGUCCGGAAUUAUUGGGCGUAAAGAGCGUGUAGGCGGUCUGGUAAGUCUGCCGUGAAAACCCAGGGCUCAACCCUGGGCGUGCGGUGGAAACUGCCAGGCUAGAGGAUGGUAGAGGCGAGUGGAAUUCCGAGUGUAGCGGUGAAAUGCGCAGAUAUUCGGAGGAACACCAGUAGCGAAGGCGGCUCGCUGGGCCAUUCCUGACGCUGAGACGCGAAAGCGUGGGGAGCGAACAGGAUUAGAUACCCUGGUAGUCC
RNAcentral lists this ribosomal RNA (802 nucleotides) under uncultured Rubrobacter sp. Its description in RNAcentral is "bacterial SSU rRNA". It matches the Rfam family "Bacterial small subunit ribosomal RNA", at positions 8 to 796 of the family's 1533-position model. Lineage: Bacteria; Bacillati; Actinomycetota; Rubrobacteria; Rubrobacterales; Rubrobacteraceae. The record is from RNAcentral.